CAGAUUAGUUUGGCUUCUCUCCCAGGCUUCAGCAUUUCCUUUUCUUUCCUUCAAAUCCCACAGCACAAUAGAUCAAAGUGAAGUGCAUCCAGGGACUGUGGAUAAGGGGAUAAAAUAUGUAAGCAGCUUAAUGAGAUCCUAUCCUACUAAGGAAAGAAGAUGGCAGUGGAGAAUGUCACACUUGUUAGUGGGAGCUGCCGGCCCACAAGCCCCCAAGGUUCAGCCAAUAAGAGCUAAGCCAUUGACUAGCAAGGAUCACUCUCCGUGACUGUGCUUCUUGGUGUCAACAUGAGCAUCCUCUAAG
RNAcentral lists this long non-coding RNA (304 nucleotides) under Cricetulus griseus (Chinese hamster). Its description in RNAcentral is "lncRNA (ENSCGRG00000024772.1)". Lineage: Eukaryota; Metazoa; Chordata; Mammalia; Rodentia; Cricetidae. The record is from RNAcentral.